Molecule: ribosomal RNA, 995 nt
Filed under: uncultured soil bacterium
Lineage: Bacteria
Description: bacterial SSU rRNA
Rfam family: Bacterial small subunit ribosomal RNA
Source: RNAcentral
UUCCUACGGGAGGCAGCAGUGGGUAUUGGACAAUGGGGGCAACCCUGAUCCAGCAAUGCCGCGAGUGAUGAAGGCCUUCGGGUUGUAAAGCUCUUUUGUCAGGGACGAUAAUGACGGUCCUGACGAAUAAGCCCCGGCUAACUUCGUGCCAGCAGCCGCGGUAAUACGAAGGGGGCUAGCGUUGUUCGGAAUUACUGGGCGUAAAGGGCGCGUAGGCGGCCCAAUAAGUCAGAUGUGAAAGCCCCGAGCUUAACUUGGGAACGGCAUUUGAUACUGUUGGGCUAGAGAGUGAGAGAGGAAAGUGGAAUUGCGAGUGUAGAGGUGAAAUUCGUAGAUAUUCGCAAGAACACCAGUGGCGAAGGCGGCUUUCUGGCUCACAACUGACGCUAGGCGCGAAAGCGUGGGGAGCAAACAGGAUUAGAUACCCUGGUAGUCCACGCUGUAAACGAUGAAUGCUAGAUGUUGGGGAUAUAAUCUUCAGUGUCGUCGCUAACGCAUAAGCAUUCCGCCUGGGGAGUACGGUCGCAAGAUUAAAACUCAAAGGAAUUGACGGGGCCCGCAGCGUGGAGUAUGUGGUUUAAUUCGAAGCAACGGUUCUUACCAGCUCUUGACAUGUAGAUUAUGGGGAUAGAGAUAAUUCUCAGUUCGGCUGGGUCUAACACAGGUGCUCAUGGCUGUCGUCAGCUCGUGUCUGAGAUGUUGGGUUAAGUCCCCAACGAGCGCACCCUCAUUACUAGUGCCAUCAGGUUGGCUGGCACUCUAGUGAAACCCGGUGAUAACCGGAGGAAGGUGGGGAUGACGUCAAGUCCUCAUGCCCUUAUGGGCUGGGCUACACACGUACUACAAUGUGGUGCAAUAGGCAGCGACGGGGCAACCCUGAGCUAAUCCCUAAAAGCCAUCUCAGUUCGGAUUGUCCUCUGCAACUCGAGGGCAUGAAGUUGGAAUCGCUAGUAAUCGUGGAUCAGCAUGCCACGGUGAAUACGUUCCCGGGCCUU